This is a long non-coding RNA of Nilaparvata lugens (brown planthopper), 860 nucleotides long. RefSeq lists it as uncharacterized. The record is from RefSeq and is a predicted model, not a curated record. Lineage: Eukaryota; Metazoa; Arthropoda; Insecta; Hemiptera; Delphacidae. The transcript has 2 exons.
CUAGUUAAUAAUAAUUUAUCAGUUCAUAUUAUAAAGAUUAUUUUUUAAAUUUCAGUAAAUAGUUGAAGCUUGGCCUGAUUUGUCAGCUGACAUUAUCUUCAGAUAAUCGGAGGACAUUCUGGAUGUCAUAUCGUUGCUAAAUUAGUGUGUGUAAAAUUGGCAAUUGUAUUGCAUUCAAUAAGCUAGUAUCAGCAUGUUUUUAUCAUUCAGUUUUUUAAGGGGAAACUUGAAUUUUACAAGUAAACAAAUUAAAGUUGUUAAAUUUCUUGUAAACAAAAGAAAUUCUCAUAGAAAUCUGGCUGAUGCCUAGAAGUAAUUACUUAUUUCCGGUUGGUCUCAUAAGUGCAAUAAGUAUUGUGUUUGUCAAUCUGCAAAAUAAUUACAAUUUAGGGAAGAAACUUUAUUCUUUCGCUCGUAUUUCACCACAGUUUUCAAGUUUAAAAGUUGGGAAUGUAUAUUCAAUUACAUUUGAUAAUAUUUCAUCAAUAUGCUUAUUGAUUGGAUGUACAAUUAUUCUAAUUUCUUUCUACACCCUUUUAAAAAUCAUACAAAUGAAGAAAAAGAAGAUCGAUGUAAACCAAGGAAUUAAAGAUCUGAAUGAAAAGUUUAUUAGUAGUGAAUACGUUAGAAAUGAGCUCACAAAGCAAUGUUUAAAGAAAAUUGAAGAACUUCCUUACUAUAAUCGGUUUUUGGAAGGAUUGGUUGCAGCAGAAAACUGUUAUAAGACACCAAAUCCAGACCAGGAUUCCGGGUUUACAGGUGAUGAAAGCUCAAGAGAGUUUGAACUACCAAAGAUUGGAGAAACAAAUUAAUAUCAGAUUAACAAUAAAAUUGUAUAUUUGUUACUCGUUUUGCCAGUG